This 72-nucleotide transfer RNA is filed under the name Apaloderma vittatum (bar-tailed trogon). It matches the Rfam family "tRNA". From Rfam's summary of the family: Transfer RNA (tRNA) molecules are approximately 80 nucleotides in length. Lineage: Eukaryota; Metazoa; Chordata; Aves; Trogoniformes; Trogonidae. The record is from Rfam by way of RNAcentral.
GGCCAGUUAGCUCAGUUGGUUGAGAGUGGUGCUGAUAACACCAAGGUUGCGGGUUCGAUCCCUGCUUGGUCC